This 1535-nucleotide ribosomal RNA is filed under the name uncultured marine eukaryote. Its description in RNAcentral is "bacterial SSU rRNA". It matches the Rfam family "Eukaryotic small subunit ribosomal RNA", at positions 1 to 1343 of the family's 1831-position model. The record is from RNAcentral.
UAAUCUGGUUGAUCCUGCCAGUAGUCAUAUGCUUGCUUCAAGGAUUAAGCCAUGCAAGUGUCGAGUAAAUAACUGCACAGUUGAUCUGCGUACAGCUCAUUACACCAGUCGUAAUCUACCUGCAUGAAUGACUCUGUCAUCGAGUGGAUAACUUCAGUAACUCCGAAGCUAAUACAUGGACGAGAAAUCGAGUAGCCAUUCAGCACAAGGAGUAACAUCCGAGUGUGGCUUCACGAUGCUUUUGGUCGUAAUAGAAACUGGUCAAUCAGAUUGAAUCUAUUGUGGCAUCAGACCAUUCUGUACAAGGAAACCGUUGCUUGCAACAUUCCGUGUGCGGUUGAGCGACUGACCUAUCAGCUUGUUUGCAAUGUAUUGGACUGCAGAGGCUUUGACGGGUAACGGAGAAUCAGGGUUCGAUUCCGGAGAGGGAGCCUGAGAAACGGCUGCCAUGUCUAAGGACAGCAGCAGGCGCGCAAAUUGCCCAAUACUAGCAUGAGCGAGGCAGCGACGAGAAGUAUUUACCUUGUGCUACAUUGUAUCACGAGGAUAGAAAUGGGUGAUAUCCAAAACCAUCACUGAGGAUCGAUUGGAGGGCAAGUCUGGUGCCAGCAGCCGCGGUAAUUCCAGCUCCAAUAGCGUAUACUAAUGCUGUUGCUGUUAAAAAGCUCGUAGUUCGAUAAGGAUUGAUUCUGGUUCAGAUUCAGUGCUUCGCAGCUUUGCUGCAAGUAUUCGAUGAGAUCCGCUUGGAAUUGGUUCUGCAAUGAGUGACUCGUACGGUGGAAGAGCUCUUCAUUGAGCUUGGAAACGCUUUCGCAGCCAACAUCUGCACAAGUACAGUCGUUCGUGAUACCGUGAACAAAACAGCGUGCUCAAAGCAAGUGAUUCUGCUCGAAUGUUCAAGCAUGGAAUAUCAAGGAAUCGACCUGGAGUCUAAUCUUUGCUGGUUUCUGUAUGCGUCUUGGAGAAUUGGACCUGAGAAUAUCGUGCCAUAGUCAGUUCCUCCGGGUUCUGCUGUGGUACUAAGCUCUAGUUUACCGGUAUUAACAGGGAUGAACGGAGCAGUGUGUAUUGGCUCGCGAGAGGUGAAAUUCUUAGACCGUGCCAAGACAAACGUAAGCGAAGGCAUUCUGCAAGUAUAUCUUCACUAAUCAAGAACGAGAGUGCAGGGAUCGAAGAUGAUCAGAUACCGUCGUAGUCUGCUACUGUAAACGAUGCGAACUCGGGAUCAGCCGUCGCCAAUCUUUUCGAUUACCAGGCUGGAACCUACUUACUUCUCCUAGCGCGAAAGCUUUAAGUUUAUGCGUUCAGGGGGGAGUACAGUUGCAAGGCUGAAACUUAAAGGAAUUGACGGAAUGACACCACAAGGCGUGGAUGCUGCGGCUUAAUUUGACUCAACACGGGGAAUCUCACCAGGUCAGGACGCAUGUUGGAUUGACAGAUUGAAAGCUCUUUCUUGAUUAUGUGUAUGGUGGUGCAUGGCCGCUCCUGGUUGGUGGAGUGAUUUGUCUGGUUGAUUCCGUUAACGAACGAGACCU